Molecule: ribosomal RNA, 238 nt
Filed under: uncultured Syntrophaceae bacterium
Lineage: Bacteria; Pseudomonadati; Thermodesulfobacteriota; Syntrophia; Syntrophales; Syntrophaceae
Description: partial 16S ribosomal RNA
Rfam family: Bacterial small subunit ribosomal RNA
Source: RNAcentral
AGACUGCCGGUGUUAAACCGGAGGAAGGUGGGGAUGACGUCAAGUCCUCAUGGCCUUUAUGCCCAGGGCUACACACGUGCUACAAUGGGUGGUACAAAGAGAUGCAAUCUCGCAAGAGCAAGCAAACCUCAAAAAAGCCAUCCUCAGUUCGGAUUGGAGUCUGCAACUCGACUCCAUGAAGUCGGAAUCGCUAGUAAUCGCGGAUCAGCACGCCGCGGUGAAUACGUUCCCGGGCCUU